GGAGGUUGGCAUGUCCUUUUCACUGCCUGACAUCUCCUACUUAGUUUUAUUCCUUUCCUGCUGUAGCUAACCUAAACUUGCCCAAGCACUUAUGCAGUGUCUUGCCUGGGAGAAGAGGGAAGCUGCCACGUGUGGCCCCUUGUACUCACUAUUGUUACCACCUCUCCCCUCACUCCCUCCAAACCACCAAACAAUUCCUAGUUCUGUCUACUUUUUCUCAGCGUACUGCAGCAUCUCUCACUAUCAACCUGCAGAUGAAUGCAGGCAGUGGAAUCUGCAACAGAAAGCUCACCGUUUCCAAGCCCUUCCCAACACUGCUUGACCACCCCAGCCCCCAUCUCUUGCUGGCACAGCACUGAAGGGAUCCAUGCAAAAGGAGUCAUCUGCUUAAGAAGCAGGAUGCCCAGUUCAUCUUGCUGCAAUCAACAUUACCUUGAAAAGGUUUAUUUGUUUAGAGAGGAAGCAGGAAAAAAAUAAUUUACUCACUGAUGUCCAUGAAACUAACAAGCAGCCUGUCACUUCCACAUGCAAAGAACUGCUGCAUCUCCAAACUUGCCCAAAAAAAUCAGAGAACUGGCUCUAGUCUCACUUUACAAUAAACACACAAUACCAAACAAUGGAAAUUCCAUGUCCUACUUUCUCUUAAUUUCAGCAGCCUGAUUUAUCUAGAUAUCAGUUCCUUUUUCUCAUGAAUAAACAACAGAUCCCAAAUGCAAGGUUUUGUAACAGACAUUUGGGACACUGAGGGCGGACAAAAGCUCCUACUUACUCAAAAGCACACUUCUGGCCUGUGUACAGCAAGAAAUAAACCUUCCCUCACACUGGUCUACUUUGAUGCUGGUCUGUUCUAAGAGACUUGCAAAAUGGUAAGGAAAAGCAGUUAACGCAGAGUGCAAGUAGAGGUCUACUUUCAAAAGAAAAGUAGGAUACUUAACAGCAUCUCAAACAAGGACAUCUAUGUUCCCCAGGCUCACAGACACCUUCCACAAGAGUUAGAGAUGGUUGAUGAUUCCAGGCUUUCUUGCAAAAAAACUAAAUCAGAAGCACUCAUGUCAGCAUUUAGGUUUGUGAACACUUAGAUGCAUGACAGACCAAACCACAUCCGACUUGCCACAGGACUGCUAACUGGGCGACAACUAUUAGUUAAAGACUUCAGCAUGGGAUCAAUUCCCAUUGUUCCACAAAGAGCAAAUCUGAAGCCAGAUUACAAAACUGACCACUGGAUGCCAGCUAUGGUGAUGCAAAUCUCACCCUCAGAGUGAGUCCCACACACUACUGCACUUUCCUGCAGUCCCC
This 1296-nucleotide long non-coding RNA is filed under the name Strigops habroptila (Kakapo). RNAcentral's name for it is "lncRNA (ENSSHBG00005013340.1)". Lineage: Eukaryota; Metazoa; Chordata; Aves; Psittaciformes; Psittacidae. The record is from RNAcentral.